Molecule: long non-coding RNA, 482 nt
Organism: Paramormyrops kingsleyae
Lineage: Eukaryota; Metazoa; Chordata; Actinopteri; Osteoglossiformes; Mormyridae
Source: RefSeq, a predicted model, not a curated record
GCAAAAACUCUGCACCGCCCUUCCUCCGCGAGAUCGUUCGCAGAACAGCCCCCGAAAUCUGGAAGGUAGCAAUGGAAACCGUGUAAUUGCUGGAGUAGAUAUACAGAAGUUCUUCGGCACAGUGUUAAGAGGGUCCCUGAGGAUCCUGGGCCGCUAAUCAGCUUUGUCCCAUGGUGCAACCUGAACUUCAGAUUUUUCCCUGCCUGACACUCCCUUUUGCACUGUGAGGGCGAUCAGGAGUGAUUCGCUUGGCAUCACAAUCUGAUAGAGGCUAUGGAUGGUGUCCCACUCCGUCUCCCAAAUCAAAGCCCUGCGCUCUGAAGGGAUGUGGAGGAGCAGGUCUGUACGGGAGGCACCAGCAAGCGAUGCUCCAGAGAAUCUCCAUCUGGUGAAACUUUGUGAUCUCGUCGUGUUAAACAUUGAUGGGUGGAGGGUGGAUGUGACAUCAUCUGUUACCAGUAAAUGGCAUUCAUUGACAUGCA